GGUGAAGAACGCAGCGAAAUGCGAUAAGUAAUGUGAAUUGCAGAAUUCAGUGAAUCAUCGAAUCUUUGAACGCACAUUGCGCCCCCCAGUAUUCUGGCGGGCAUGCCUGUUCGAGCGUCAUUUCAACCAUCAAGCCCUGCUUGUGUUGGGGUCCUGCGGCUGCCCGCAGGCCCUGAAAACCAGUGGCGGGCUCGCUAGUCACACCGAGCGCAGUAGCACAUCUCGCUCAGGGCGUGCGGCGGGCUCCAGCCGUUAAAGCACCCACCUUUCGCAAGGUUGACCUCGGAUCAGGUAGGAAUACCCGCUGAACUUAAGCAUAUCAAUAAGCGGAGGA
This 334-nucleotide unclassified non-coding RNA is filed under the name soil metagenome. RNAcentral's name for it is "partial contains 5.8S ribosomal RNA, internal transcribed spacer 2, and large subunit ribosomal RNA". The stretch from base 3 to 120 matches the Rfam family "5.8S ribosomal RNA", at positions 37 to 154 of the family's 154-position model. The record is from RNAcentral.